Molecule: ribosomal RNA, 492 nt
Filed under: uncultured bacterium
Lineage: Bacteria
Description: partial 16S ribosomal RNA
Rfam family: Bacterial small subunit ribosomal RNA
Source: RNAcentral
AGCGAACGCUGGCGGUAGGCCUAACACAUGCAAGUCGAACGGCAGCACAGUACGUGCUUGCUCUUCCCGGUGGCGAGUGGCGUACGGGUGACGAAUACAUCGGACUCUACUUUUUCGUGGGGCUUCACGUAGGGAAACUUACUAUAAUAUCGCAUCUGCCCUUCGGUUGUAAGCAGUGGAACUUCGCACCUUGCGCGGUUGAAUGAGCCGAUGUCGAGUUAGCUAGUUGGCGGGGUAACGGCCCACCCAGGCGGCGAUCCGUAGCUGGUCUGAGAGGAUGAUCAGCCACACUGGAACGGGGACACGGUCCAGACUCCUACGGGAGGCAGCAGUGGGGAAUAUUGGACAAUGGGGGGAAGCCUGAUCCAGCCAUAGCGCGUGGGUGAAGAAGGCCUUCGGGUUGUAAAGCCGUUUUGUUGGGAAAGAAAAGCAGCAGGUUAAGACCCCGCUGGUCUGACGGUAACCAAAGAAUAAGCACCGGCUAACUUCGUG